Molecule: ribosomal RNA, 495 nt
Filed under: uncultured bacterium
Lineage: Bacteria
Description: partial 16S ribosomal RNA
Rfam family: Bacterial small subunit ribosomal RNA
Source: RNAcentral
GACGAACGCUGGCGGCGUGCCUAAUACAUGCAGGUCGAACGCUGAAGGAGGAGCUUGCUUCUCUGGAUGAGUUGCGAACGGGUGAGUAACGCGUAGGUAACCUGCCUGGUAGCGGGGGAUAACUAUUGGAAACGAUAGCUAAUACCGCAUAAUAUUGACUAUUGCAUGAUAGUCAGUUGAAAGGUGCAACUGCACCACUACCAGAUGGACCUGCGUUGUAUUAGCUAGUUGGUGGGGUAACGGCUCACCAAGGCGACGAUACAUAGCCGACCUGAGAGGGUGAUCGGCCACACUGGGACUGAGACACGGCCCAGACUCCUACGGGAGGCAGCAGUAGGGAAUCUUCGGCAAUGGACGGAAGUCUGACCGAGCAACGCCGCGUGAGUGAAGAAGGUUGUCGGAUCGUAAAGCUCUGUUGUAAGAGAAGAGCGAGUGUGAGAGUGGAAAGCUCACACUGUGACGGUAGCUGACCAGAAAGGGACGGCUAACUACGUG